AUAUCAGUAAGUGGAGGAAAAGAAACUAACAAGGAUUGCCUUAGUAGCGGCGAGUGAAGAGGCAAUAGCUCAAAAUUAAAAUCUGGUAACAGAAUUGUAAUCUAAAGAAUAUUGCAGAAGGAUAAUUUCUUGCAUAAAAUCCUGAAACGGGUUAGCAAAGAGGGUGAUACUCCCGUAUUUGGCAAAGGAAUUACCGUAUGCAAUGUUUCAACGAGUCGGGUUGUUUGGACUGCAGCCCUAAAUGGGAGAUAAACUUCUUCUAAGGCUAAAUAUUUAUGGGAGACCGAUAGCGCACAAGUA
Molecule: ribosomal RNA, 300 nt
Filed under: uncultured eukaryote
Lineage: Eukaryota
Description: partial large subunit ribosomal RNA
Rfam family: Eukaryotic large subunit ribosomal RNA
Source: RNAcentral